GCCGCCUUAGCUCAGUUGGUAGAGCAGCUGAUUCGUAAUCAGCAGGUCGACGGUUCGAGUCCGUCAGGCGGCUCCA
Molecule: transfer RNA, 76 nt
Filed under: Nannocystis sp.
Lineage: Bacteria; Pseudomonadati; Myxococcota; Nannocystales; Nannocystaceae
Description: tRNA-Thr
Rfam family: tRNA
About the family: Transfer RNA (tRNA) molecules are approximately 80 nucleotides in length. Their secondary structure includes four short double-helical elements and three loops (D, anti-codon, and T loops).
Source: RNAcentral